RNAcentral lists this ribosomal RNA (292 nucleotides) under uncultured bacterium. RNAcentral's name for it is "partial 16S ribosomal RNA". It matches the Rfam family "Bacterial small subunit ribosomal RNA", at positions 505 to 796 of the family's 1533-position model. The record is from RNAcentral.
GUGCCAGCAGCCGCGGUAAUACAGAGGGUGCAAGCGUUGUUCGGAAUUACUGGGCGUAAAGCGCGCGCAGGCGGGACGACAAGUGGGGAGUGAAAUUCCGGGGCUCAACUCCGGACCGGCUUUCCAAACUGUCGACCUGGGGACCGGUAGAGGCUGGUAGAAUUCCCGGUGUAGCGGUGGAAUGCGUAGAGAUCGGGAAGAAUACCCGUGGCGAAGGCGGCCAGCUGGGCCGGGUCCGACGCUGAGGCGCGAAAGCGUGGGGAGCAAACAGGAUUAGAAACCCGCGUAGUCC